Molecule: long non-coding RNA, 511 nt
Filed under: Olea europaea (common olive)
Lineage: Eukaryota; Viridiplantae; Streptophyta; Magnoliopsida; Lamiales; Oleaceae
Description: long non-coding RNA (OEUR_LNC009933)
Source: RNAcentral
CUAAGCUUUCUCCCAUAACUAAAAAUAAUCAUGGCUUCGUUUAGGGUUUUUGGCAACAAAUGCAGAGCUCUAAUGGCUCCGGCCAAGUCCGCCGCCGCCUCCACCUCCACCUCCACCUCCACCUCCACCUUCUCCUCCACUCCUAAAGCUACCAAAACCACUACCGCUACAAAGGCCAAAUCUGGCAACGCUGGCAUACUCAAGGUCCAAAAUGUCUCCCCUGCUCUCGCCAAGUUCAUCGGUUCCUCCGAAGCGUCCCGCUCUGGUGCCGUCAAGAAAAUCUGGGAGUAUGUUAAAUCGCACAACCUUCAGGUCCGAAUCCCCAUCGUAUACUUGUGAUUUCUGUAUCUAUGUAUUUUUGUGGCUCAGCGUUACUUGAACAUCGUCUUAAGGUUUAGUAAUGGCUAUUAGUAUUAUGCAGAACUGUUGUACUCUGUACUUUACUAAACUGAUGUCGCAUAACAUUAUAAUGGAACAAGUUUUGGAGCGUGCGCUGUAAUUUUUUAAGUUA